GACAACCCUCUAUAAUAUAAAGUACUUAUUUUCUAAUAUAUUAUGUUCUUUAGUUAUCUUUAUGUUUGUUUAUUUGUUCCUUAAUCAAAUUAAUGCUUUCAUUCUCCGCUAAUCUCACCCAUUAAGCGUUUUUGUUGUAUAAUAAUAUCUUAUAUAUGUUUGCUCUGUACGUCAAUCUCCCUAGGCAAUGAUUAUCACUAAAUUUUGGUUUAGGCUAGCUAGCUGAGUUUGGAAUGAACUUGGCAAACACCCAAAAAAAA
Molecule: long non-coding RNA, 260 nt
Filed under: Capsella rubella
Lineage: Eukaryota; Viridiplantae; Streptophyta; Magnoliopsida; Brassicales; Brassicaceae
Description: long non-coding RNA (CRUB_LNC003327)
Source: RNAcentral